GCAUACGUCGUACGGGAGAAAGCAGGGGACUUUCGGGCCUUGCGCUAUCAGAUGAGCCUAGGUCGGAUUAGCUAGUUGGUGAGGUAAUGGCUCACCAAGGCGACGAUCCGUAACUGGUCUGAGAGGAUGAUCAGUCACACUGGAACUGAGACACGGUCCAGACUCCUACGGGAGGCAGCAGUGGGGAAUAUUGGACAAUGGGCGAAAGCCUGAUCCAGCCAUGCCGCGUGUGUGAAGAAGGUCUUCGGAUUGUAAAGCACUUUAAGUUGGGAGGAAGGGCAUUAACCUAAUACGUUAGUGUUUUGACGUUACCGACAGAAUAAGCACCGGCUAACUCUGUGCCAGCAGCCGCGGUAAUACAGAGGGUGCAAGCGUUAAUCGGAAUUACUGGGCGUAAAGCGCGCGUAGGUGGUUUGUUAAGUUGGAUGUGAAAGCCCCGGGCUCAACCUGGGAACUGCAUCCAAAACUGGCAAGCUAGAGUACGGUAGAGGGUGGUGGAAUUUCCUGUGUAGCGGUGAAAUGCGUAGAUAUAGGAAGGAACACCAGUGGCGAAGGCGACCACCUGGACUGAUACUGACACUGAGGUGCGAAAGCGUGGGGAGCAAACAGGAUUAGAUACCCUGGUAGUCCACGCCGUAAACGAUGUCAACUAGCCGUUGGAAUCCUUGAGAUUUUAGUGGCGCAGCUAACGCAUUAAGUGACCGCGUGGACACGCGAUGAAAAAAAA
This 727-nucleotide ribosomal RNA is filed under the name Pseudomonas putida. Its description in RNAcentral is "bacterial SSU rRNA". It matches the Rfam family "Bacterial small subunit ribosomal RNA", at positions 186 to 873 of the family's 1533-position model. The record is from RNAcentral. Lineage: Bacteria; Pseudomonadati; Pseudomonadota; Gammaproteobacteria; Pseudomonadales; Pseudomonadaceae.